RNAcentral lists this ribosomal RNA (751 nucleotides) under uncultured Pseudomonas sp. Its description in RNAcentral is "bacterial SSU rRNA". It matches the Rfam family "Bacterial small subunit ribosomal RNA", at positions 28 to 774 of the family's 1533-position model. The record is from RNAcentral. Lineage: Bacteria; Pseudomonadati; Pseudomonadota; Gammaproteobacteria; Pseudomonadales; Pseudomonadaceae.
AUUGAACGCUGGCGGCAGGCCUAACACAUGCAAGUCGAGCGGAUGAAGGGAGCUUGCUCCUGGAUUUAGCGGCGGACGGGUGAGUAAUGCCUAGGAAUCUGCCUGGUAGUGGGGGACAACUCGGGGAAACCCGAGCUAAUACCGCAUACGUCCUACGGGAGAAAGUGGGGGAUCUUCGGACCUCACGCUAUCAGAUGAGCCUAGGUCGGAUUAGCUUGUUGGUGAGGUAACGGCUCACCAAGGCUGCGAUCCGUAACUGGUCUGAGAGGAUGAUCAGUCACACUGGAACUGAGACACGGUCCAGACUCCUACGGGAGGCAGCAGUGGGGAAUAUUGGACAAUGGGGGCAACCCUGAUCCAGCCAUGCCGCGUGUGUGAAGAAGGUCUUCGGAUUGUAAAGCACUUUAAGUUGGGAGGAAGGGCUGCGUGUUAAUAGCACGUAGUCUUGACGUUACCAACAGAAUAAGCACCGGCUAACUCUGUGCCAGCAGCCGCGGUAAUACAGAGGGUGCAAGCGUUAAUCGGAAUUACUGGGCGUAAAGCGCGCGUAGGCGGUCAAGUAAGAUGGGUGUGAAAUCCCCGGGCUCAACCUGGGAACUGCAUCCAUAACUGCUUGACUAGAGUACAGUAGAGGGUGGUGGAAUUUCCUGUGUAGCGGUGAAAUGCGUAGAUAUAGGAAGGAACACCAGUGGCGAAGGCGACUGACUGGACAAGUAUUGACGCUGAGGUGCGAAAGCGUGGGGAGCAAACA